AUUUGCGAGGCGGUGGUAAUUCAGCGUAUAACGUUCUUAACAGAUGAUGCUGCAUUGGUUGAUAUUAUAAUAAGGCUAUUCGGUUCCAUUUUGGAAUUCGGCUGUUAUGAUAUUUGUACGUAAACUGGUGCUUGCUUGUUUUUAAUUAAUAGCAUUAAGUAUAUCUUUAUUUCGUACUCGGCACAUAUCUGGAUUAAAAAGUGUUUCAGAAAAUCCUUUAUCUCGGACACAGGUUGCUACGUUGAGACAGCUCGCAUCGGCCAACGUUCAUUCAUCACCAACAGUCAUUCCGGACUAUCAUAUAUAUAACCUCAAUUCACGUUUCUAAAUUUAAUUUACCCAGUUUGUUACUAACGGUGUGUACAACAAAUGUUUUGUUUUUCGCAAACGUCAUUGCCGGCUGGAUGUUGAACUGGCACAAGGUUCACAUUUUAGCAGAUGCAUGUUUAUUUCGCCCGAAACUGGUGAUUGCCUAGGUAUUUUAUCUUACUUAUUCAUCAUCGCUGGAUGUUGAACCGACACAAGGGUAAGGUUCACAUUUCAGCUGAUGAUAUUUAUUUCGCUAGAAACUCGUAUAAUACGGUAUUUUAUCGCCUCUGGAGACACUUAUUGGUCAUCGGUUGGAUAUUGAACUGACACAUGGGUAAGGUUCACAUUUCAGCUGAUCAUCAGUUUAUUCCAGUGGAGGCUUGUAUAGUAAACUAGGUAAUUGAUAGCACUGUUAUUAUCUAGACCAGUGCAAGUUCAUUGCUUUUGACUGACAAUAGCAUAUGCAGUCAAACUGACAUAGAUUGAGGUUUUUGUAACAUGUGGUAUCAGUAUAUACGUAGAUAUUUUUCAUGAUCAUCUGCAAACGGUUUGCCAGGUUGGGGUGGGGUGUGUCUCCUUUAUCCCAAGGAGACUUGUGGCGUUAGUAAUGCCCCCACCUUUUCUGUGCUAAAUGUUAUAUAGUUAUUAAUUAAUAAUUUUUCUUGUUAAUUAUUAAAAAUCGAUUAAAAUAAUAAACCGGCUAUGUGCCAAUAACCGGGCACAUAAGCCAUAAUUAUGCCAUAAAGGCUUUGACUGGUUUUGUAGUAUUCGGCAGCACAGAAAACCGAGCUCAACCUGACAAACAGUUUGCCGAUGGUGGUUUAAUAUAUGCAGGGAAGC
This is a non-coding RNA of Paramuricea clavata, 1149 nucleotides long. NCBI's taxonomy places the organism in Eukaryota, Metazoa, Cnidaria, Anthozoa, Malacalcyonacea, Plexauridae. The record is from the annotation of a GenBank genome assembly.